UGCUGCUGUACCAGGGUAACAAGUUGCCCAACCUUGAUGGUACAUGGGGAAGCACAUGAACUACAGUGAACUUGAACCUGAGAUGGGCAGGAUGACCAGGGGCUCUGACUUCUCAGAGUCUGAAUCCUGACACCAGUGCCGGAGAAGUGGAGACAAGCGGAUCCCUGGAGCCCAUUGGCCAGAGCUUGAAAGAAAAGCACCAUGUUAAAGGCACUCACAGAGAAAAAAAGGGUUAUCUGCAAAGAAUAAUGAUUGUGGAACCAUAUUAGGCUUUGAGAGACCACUGUCAUCUUUAAAGAAAUACCAACAUCAUGGAACACAAGUGUAUCAGAAUUCUUUCCAUGUGCUGAGCUUUGUUCUGAAAAUGCACCGUCUAGAAGCUUUAUGACCCAGAAAAGAUACUGGCAGAAGACAGGAAUUUCAUGGUGAGGGACAAAAAACUUUCUCACUCAAGCAAAAGCAUUAGCCAACACUUCUCAUGGUUGCCAUUGGUUGUACAUGACUCCCAGGUCUCAUGGGGAUCCCAUCAUAGAUGACUGCACACAUAGUAGGUCUUCUAUAGAGUAAGAUUGCCAAGCUUGGGAAUUCACCACUCUUAUGGCAAUAGAGAGCAAGACUGAAUGCCUUAUUUGGAAAACCAUUACCCCAGGUCUCAUGAUUUUUUUUUUCAUGGAAAAUAAAAGAGGAGAAAUAAGAGCUGUUGAAGCUUUUCAUUUUCAAUGUAACCAGCAAGACAUUGUAAGGACACUCAAAGCCUAGGUAGCCUGCCUCUCCCACAUAAUUUACCAAUAGUUUACUAAUUAUAGGAAAUGGUAACUGCCAUCACAAAUCUCACAGAAUCCAACCACAAAAUAACACCUGCCCUAACAUAUAGAUGUAGACAUUGACCAGAGAAGUGAAUGACUUGUUUAAAGAUAAUAUGGUUUGGGGACCUGAUGGUUGUGGGUUCAAUAAUGAGACAUGAUAAAAAGGCUGCUCAUGUCAUCUGUUCAGGCUGCUGAGUGAGAUUUAGGGCUCAGGUCUAGUGUCUACAGAAUUCUUGAACCUGAAAGCUAAGGACUGCUAGACAAAAUGAUAACACACUGAGCUAUGUGCAUUGAGGUCCUUGCUUCCCAGUCAACUCCUCAGAGGGCAAAGAGUAGGGGUCAGGGUAGAGGUAGGGUACGUGAAAAGGGAGGCAAGGAGGGCCUCCAUCAAAGCAGCUUCGCUUU
Non-coding RNA from Peromyscus maniculatus bairdii (prairie deer mouse), 1211 nucleotides. The record is from RefSeq and is a predicted model, not a curated record. Lineage: Eukaryota; Metazoa; Chordata; Mammalia; Rodentia; Cricetidae.